RNAcentral lists this long non-coding RNA (1847 nucleotides) under Sus scrofa (pig). RNAcentral describes it as "lncRNA (ENSSSCG00015073672.1)". The record is from RNAcentral. Lineage: Eukaryota; Metazoa; Chordata; Mammalia; Artiodactyla; Suidae.
AUGGGGCUGGGGGAGGGGAGUAGUUGCUGUGUCUUCACUCCGCAACCUGAGAGGCAGGUAGGCUCUUAUCUCCACUGGACAGAUGAGCCAGGGGCCCCGCUCACCCAGCUUUCUGCAGCAGCCUCCCAACCGGUUCCCUGUUCCUCCUCCCCAAGGCAGAGGGACCUUUUUCACCUGUGCCCAGAUCAUGCCUGUCCUCUGCACGAAACCCCCCACCAUCUGCUGGAUGCUCCCUGGUUUUCGGUGUCAGACCCCCANGUUUUCGGUGGCCAGACCCCCAAGUUUUCGGUGGCCAACUGCCAGGGCCAGCUCAGCAGGAUGGGGCUGAAGAACGCGUGCUGUGGAACUUAAGGAAAAAUAGUUAACAUAAAACAAGACACAGAGACAUUUAUCUUUAGUAGAGGUGGGAACCCGGGGGACUCAAGGUCUCAGGGACCAAGAGCACCUCAAGAAUCCACACUGCUUUUAUUGUGCUCUUUAGAUGAGAUCAAGUGAGGAGUGGCUAUGGGUGGAGGAUACAGGGUUUGUUUACUAUUAUAUAAGUUCUUUUACUAUUUAAAAAGCCACUUAGGUGGUAAAGGGUUAAGCUCUUACUCUGACCUCUAGGCACACAACAGUUAAGUCACUUAUGCCUUUAGGUCUUUGUUCUUCAGCUUAAGUCAUUUACCAGCACUGUGACUGUUUUUCAAAGCAGGAAUAUGGGAUAAAGUAAGACAAGAAGAUGGGAUAAGUAAAGAAGGACAGGAUGGAGUUUUCAAGGAAACAUGUCUUGCGACAGCCAACCAGGCCUUACACCAGUGGCCCACAUGGCUCUGUGCCCCCAUCACCUGUCCCUGCCCCACUUACCAAUCCUCCAACUGGCCAGUGCAUUAGGGGCCAGUGCCCUUACCCAUACCUCCCUGUCACCUCCCUCUUUUCAAUUUUUUGCUCAAACGUCCAGGGUCUCAAAAAGUUUGUUUUGUUCAGGUGUCACAAUGAAGCCCAGCCUGACUGCCCUAUUUAAGUUUGAAAUUGCUCAUUCUCCCAGUCCUUUAUUUUGCUCUGUAUUCCUCCAUGACACUUAAGGCCUUCUACCAGUCUAUAUAAUUCCCUUAAUUUAUCACAUUUAUUCUCCUCCACCCCUUCCAUCCACAAGGGCAGGGAUUUGGAUUUUUUUGUCUUUUUAGGGCCACACCUGCAGCAUAUGGAAGUUCCUAGGCUAGGGGUCGAAUCAUGGCUGCAGCUGCCAGUCUACGCUAUAGCCAUAGCAGUGCCAGAUCUGAGCUUCGUCUAUGACCUGCACCAGAGCUCAUGGCAAUAUGGGAUCCUUAACCCACUGAGUGAAGCCAGGGAUAGAACCCACGUCCUCAUGGAUGCUAGUUAGGUUCGUUUCUGCUGAGCCACAACGGGAAUUCUGAUUUUUUUUUUUUUAAAGCAGAUCUUGCAGCCCCUAGAAUAGGGCCUGCUGCAUCAUAGAUGCUCAGUAAAUACAACAAUAUAAAAUAUAAAAGUGUUCCCCUUGUGACUCAGCAGGUUAAGAACCCGGCUAGUAUCCAUGAGGAUUCGGAUGUUGUCUCUGUGAGGAUGCAGGUUCAAUCCUUGGCCUCAAUCCUGGUGAUCAGUGGGGUGACAUGUCACAGCCAGAUCACCCUCACGUCCAAUCCCUGGCCCCGCUCAGUGGGUUAAGGACCCAGCAUUGCCACAAGCUGCGGUGUAGAUUGCAGAUGUGGCUUGGAUCCGGUGUUGCCGUGGCUAUGGCCUAGGCCUCAGCUGCAGCUCUCAUUUGACCCUUAGCCUGAGAACUUCCAUGUGCCACAGGUGCAGCUGCGAAAAAAAAAAAAAAAAAAAAAAAAAUAUAUAUAUAAAAA